UACAGAGGUCUCAAGCGUUGUUCGGAUUCAUUGGGCGUAAAGGGUGCGUAGGUGGGCAGGUAAGUCAGUGGUGAAAUCUCUGGGCUUAACCCGGAAACUGCCGUUGAUACUAUCUGUCUUGAAUGUAGUGGAGGUGAGCGGAAUAUGUCAUGUAGCGGUGAAAUGCUUAGAUAUGACAUAGAACAUCGAUUGCGAAGGCAGCUCGCUACACUAUGAUUGACACUGAGGCACGAAAGCGUGGGGAUCAAACAGG
RNAcentral lists this ribosomal RNA (253 nucleotides) under uncultured bacterium. RNAcentral's name for it is "partial 16S ribosomal RNA". It matches the Rfam family "Bacterial small subunit ribosomal RNA", at positions 524 to 776 of the family's 1533-position model. The record is from RNAcentral.